RNAcentral lists this unclassified non-coding RNA (344 nucleotides) under soil metagenome. RNAcentral describes it as "partial contains 5.8S ribosomal RNA, internal transcribed spacer 2, and large subunit ribosomal RNA". The stretch from base 1 to 120 matches the Rfam family "5.8S ribosomal RNA", at positions 35 to 154 of the family's 154-position model. The record is from RNAcentral.
GAUGAAGAACGCAGCGAAAUGCGAUAAGUAAUGUGAAUUGCAGAAUUCAGUGAAUCAUCGAGUCUUUGAACGCACAUUGCGCCCCCUGGUAUUCCGGGGGGCAUGCCUGUCCGAGCGUCAUUGCUGCCCUCAAGCACGGCUUGUGUGUUGGGCCGCCGUCCCCGGUUUCCCCCGGGGACGGGCCCGAAAGGCAGCGGCGGCACCGCGUCCGAUCCUCGAGCGUAUGGGGCUUUGUCACCCGCUCUGUAGGCCCGGCCGGCGCCAGCCGACACCCAACUUUAUUUCUAAGGUUGACCUCGGAUCAGGUAGGGAUACCCGCUGAACUUAAGCAUAUCAAUAAGCGA